Molecule: ribosomal RNA, 253 nt
Filed under: uncultured bacterium
Lineage: Bacteria
Description: partial 16S ribosomal RNA
Rfam family: Bacterial small subunit ribosomal RNA
Source: RNAcentral
GACGAACUGUGCGAACGUUAUUCGGAAUCACUGGGCUUACAGGGUGCGUAGGCGGCUUGUUAAGUAGGGUGUGAAAUCCCCCGGCCCAACCGGGGAAUGGCGCUCUAAACUAGCAGGCUUGAGUGAGCUAGGGGUGCACGGAACUUCCAGUGGAGCGGUGAAAUGUGUUGAUAUUGGAAGGAACACCGGAGGCGAAAGCGGUGCACUGGGGCUUAACUGACGCUGAGGCACCAAAGCCAGGGGAGCGAACGGG